This 586-nucleotide ribosomal RNA is filed under the name uncultured bacterium. RNAcentral describes it as "partial 16S ribosomal RNA". It matches the Rfam family "Bacterial small subunit ribosomal RNA", at positions 355 to 1375 of the family's 1533-position model. The record is from RNAcentral.
UGGGGAAUUUUGGACAAUGGGCGAAAGCCUGAUCCAGCAAUGCCGCGUGUGUGAAGAAGGCCUUCGGGUUGUAAAGCACUUUUGUCCGGAAAGAAAUCCUUGGCUCUAAUACAGUCGGGGGAUGACGGUACCGGAAGAAUAAGCACCGGCUAACUACGUGCCAGCAGCCGCGGUAAUACGUAGGGUGCAAGCGUUAAUCGGAAUUACUGGGCGUAAAGCGUGCGCAGGCGGUUUGCUAAGACCGAUGUGAAAUCCCCGGGCUCAACCUGGGAACUGCAUUGGUGACUGGCAGGCUAGAGUAUGGCAGAGGGGGGUAGAAUUCCACGUGUAGCAGUGAAAUGCGUAGAGAUGUGGAGGAAUACCGAUGGCGAAGGCAGCCCCCUGGGCCAAUACUGACGCUCAUGCACGAAAGCGUGGGGAGCAAACAGGAUUAGAUACCCUGGUAGUCCCACGCCCUAAACGAUGUCAACUAGUUGUUGGGGAUUCAUUUCCUUAGUAACGUAGCUAACGCGUGAAGUUGACCGCCUGGGGAGUACGGUCGCAAGAUUAAAACUCAAAGGAAUUGACGGGGUCAUAGCUGUUUCCU